This is a non-coding RNA of Ameiurus melas (black bullhead), 65 nucleotides long. NCBI's taxonomy places the organism in Eukaryota, Metazoa, Chordata, Actinopteri, Siluriformes, Ictaluridae. The record is from the annotation of a GenBank genome assembly.
GCACGGUGGCUUAGUGGUCAGCACGUUCGCCUCCAGGGUCCGGGGUUCGAAUCCCCGAUUGUGCG